UUCAAGUGCAAUCUCUAGCCAAGUUCUCUUUGUUGUUGUGUUGAAUUUUGAGGAAAGGCGGCCAAGCAGCUCGUGGCAUCUGUGUCACGCCUGCUCUGCCGCUGCCUUGACCCGCCGACGACGUCGCCAGUUGAGCCGCAAGGGUGCAAGAUCAUCGUGGGGCCCAUUGCAUGGGCUCCGAGUAUGCUUGAUUGCCAUGUCGGAGGCGAAGGUGCUAGAGCUUGGUGGCGUGUUUGCAUUUCUGGAUGCAUGAAUAAUUGUCAAGGAGGCUGAAGCCAGCGCUAUUACAGUUGGAUUGAAGGAAUUGUAUAACGUAUUUUGAGGCUCCUUGGUGGUGGAGAUCGACUACGCAGUGGGGAGAUGAGCUAGGGGCUGAUUCUAACUGUCAAGAGGGACAAACAAUGGGCUGGCUCAUGAACUAGCCAAUGAUGCUAAAGCUCAUGGAGACCUUGUGGUUGCGUAUGGUGUCCCGGACCAACUCCAUGAUCAGCUCUGGAAGGAAAACAAUGCAGCCUUGACGUUGGCCUAAGUCUUGAUGUAAUCCUCAAAAAAGAUACUGCUUGCAGACAUGUUAUACAUAAACAUGCAUGUUGUAGGUCUGUUAAUUUUAAUUUUGAAUACUGAGAUCUAUUCAGAUGCUUUCCUUACUCUUAUGGCUAAAAAAAUCCAGCAGACAGUGACUGAAAUUUGUUAGUUUCACUCAACGUGCUGCUGCUU
Aegilops tauschii subsp. strangulata is the source of this 717-nucleotide long non-coding RNA. RefSeq lists it as uncharacterized. The record is from RefSeq and is a predicted model, not a curated record. Lineage: Eukaryota; Viridiplantae; Streptophyta; Magnoliopsida; Poales; Poaceae.